CAUCAAUAUUCGUUCUCUGCGUCUCUUGCACGUGCACCAUGCAAAUAGAAUAAAAUUCGGGAAAAGCGCUCAUCUGAAAAAACGUUCAAACUGUGCGAGACCGUAGACGCCGGGUUCGCUCAUGACGCGCAUCACGCAACACGCAACGGAAAGAAGAAACCAAGUCCAAGGCGAUGCACGAGUUCGCGCAGCCGAAUCGAACCAGCCGGUUACCAAAUGAAAUACGUUCGGUAGCGAUCGAGUUGUGAUGCUGAGCCAUUGAUACGUUGAGAGAUGGAACGAUCCACAAACGAGAGAUUCUCAAAAUGGGGUCGAUGGAGAGUAAAAAAAAAAGAGAAUUAUCGUGCUGAUAUGAAAAAAAUAAAAAUAAAAAAGAUAGAGAG
This 383-nucleotide unclassified non-coding RNA is filed under the name Venturia canescens. Its description in RNAcentral is "uncharacterized LOC122405860, transcript variant X2". The record is from RNAcentral. Lineage: Eukaryota; Metazoa; Arthropoda; Insecta; Hymenoptera; Ichneumonidae.